RNAcentral lists this long non-coding RNA (368 nucleotides) under Brassica napus (rape). RNAcentral's name for it is "long non-coding RNA (BNAP_LNC011894)". The record is from RNAcentral. Lineage: Eukaryota; Viridiplantae; Streptophyta; Magnoliopsida; Brassicales; Brassicaceae.
UUGGGCUUUCGAAAUAAAAGUAUAAAGUAAGAGAUGAAGUAGCAUGUCAAGAUGCUAUGAAACAUCCUAAGAUAUUAACAAAAGUAGUAGCAUGUUAAGAAAAAAACAUGCAGAGAUGUUAAGAGAGUAGACUGGUUUGACACAUUUGUUGGGCUUUCGAAAUAAAAGUAUAAAGUAAGAGAUGAAGUAGCAUGUCAAGAUGCUAUAUGAAACAUCCUAAGAUAUUAACAAAAGUAGUAGCAGGUUAAGAUGCUAUGUAAUAUCUCAAGACAUUAACAAAAGCUUAUUUAGAGAACCUUAAUGAAGAAAGGCAUGCCCGAUCAUGGAAAAGAAAGAAAAGGUAAUGUUGAAUAUAUAGUAGAAGGAAU